AUCGAGGCCAGGGAUCAAACUCGCAACCUCAUGGUUCCUAGUCAGACUCAUUUCUGCUGCGCCACAACGGGAACUCCUAUUUUUUGAACAAUAUAAUGUUAAUAUAUCUUGUGACUGUGAGUCUCUACAUUUUAACAUUGUCUUCUUUUUUAAAUUAAAAAAAAAUUUCUUUUCAGGGCCAUGCCCACGGCAUAUGAACGUUCCCAGGCUAAGGGUCAAAUUGGAGCUGCAGCUGCAGGCCUACACCACAGCCACACCAACACAGGAUCCAAGCCUCGUCAGUGACGACUGUGAACUACAUUACAGCUCACAGCAACACCAGGUCCUUAACCCACUGAGCAAAGCCAGGGAUCCAAUCCAAAUCCUCAUGGAUACUAGUUGGGUUCUUAACCCGCUGAGCCCCAGCAGGAACUCCUAACAUUAUCAUUUAAGUUAUUCAACUGAUCAAAACAUAAAUAUAUGACACAUUUUGAUAGACAGUUACACAUAAAAAAUAAAAUUAUAUAAUAAAUACAUCUUUUGAGCAGAUGCAUAGGGCUUUUCUGGGUUUGCUUUCAAUAAGUUUCCAUAUUCAUGGGUAGGAUGCUUGCAUGUGAAAAAGUUCAGCAUCAAUUCUUUUAUUUUUUUGUUUUGUUUAGUGUAAAUGAAGAAAACUGUUCACAUAACAAUUAGAUACCAAUGGAAGGAGGUUUGGUAUACCAAUGUUACUUGAUCAUUUGACUCCCUUCCAAAAUGUAUGCCAAAAAUGUUAGCAAUUUUGUUUUCAGUCAGUUAAAACCUGCCUAGGUUCUCAAACUGUAUUCAAUUUAGAGAACUAGAAAAUCAUUUGAUGUUUCUUGUCACCUGGUCUUUAUUCUCUUUGUGAGAGCAUCAACAAUAAUUCCAGCGGUCUCUCUGCUGGGCUCUCUGCAGAUUUUUAGACCCGCAAAACAAAGUGCUCUGGGGUGGGUGGUUUCCUUUUCACCAUCCUGGUGGGUGUGUGUGCACUUUGCUCUUGAAGAGUUAGGAGCAGGGGAGGUGGAAGGGGCUGUGACCUUGCUCCAGGCACCUUCUCUUGCUGGUCAGUUUUAGCCCAGGGAAACUGCACACUGAUUUCCUUUAAACUAUUUGGUGUGUUGUGCUCCUUGGGAGAGACAUCCAUACCCCUAAGGACCUAUGAACCCAAGUUUCAGGACAUUUCACCUGAAGAUACUUCCAUUUCCCACCUAAACAGAUGAAAAAAGUACCCUAUCCCCUUCCACCCAAUGGCUUCUAUGGGGUCUUCAGAACCAUAGAAGAUGGUGGGAAGAAAGAAGGCAGACAGGGCAAGGCUUUGUCACUCAGUGAGAGAAGGGAUGGCAGUAACAGGUUGGGAAGAAGGCUCAAGAAGGCUCAAAGGAUUGGGACAAUUUUGGGUAGAUUUGGAAACAUCUUGAAGGAAAUCAAACAAGAAGAAGAGAUUUACCUCUUGUAAAGUGUUGUAAAGUGGUGUUAUGAGUAAGGCAAGGGUCUUCUUUCCUUUAGCAUAUUUUAAUAGGAGGCAAUAAUGUGUCAGCCCUGUGCCAAGAGGGGGUCUGUAAGACACCUGUCCUUGCCUUCAGUGAGCUUAUAUAGCACACAGUAGUUGACCCAGAGAGGAGGGAGGAGAGGAGGAGAGUGGGAGGGGGAAGGAGAGAGAGCAGAGAGGGGAAGGAGGGGAUGGAGGAAGAGGAGAGAGAGGUGGGGGGGAGUUACUAGGAAAUUGUAACGCAGGGUGACCAUAAUGUGGGGUGACCAGCACAGGGGGUUGAGAGAGCAUCCAGGAGUGGCCCUCAUCCUGUCAAGGGGAGGAGUACCAGGGAAGAAGUCAAUCCAGAUGGAGCAAACCCCUGAGACCAAAUAUUCAAGUGUCUGUAAGGGUGGAGUGCAUUCUGGGAACAUCCUUAGAUCAGCACUGAAAGAUAAGAACAAACCAGAUGUAGCCAAAGCAAUUCUGAGAAAGAAAAAUGGAGCUAGAGGAAUAGGCUCCCUGACUACAGACUAUACAGCAAAGCUACAAUAAUCAAAACAGUAUGGUAUUUUGCACAAAAACAGAAAUAUAGAACAAUGGAACAGGAUAGAAAGCCCAGAAAUAAACCCAGCAACUAAUCUACAGCAACAGAGGCAAAAGUAUACAACGGAGAAAAGACAGUCUCUUUAAUAAGCGGUGCUGGGAAAAUUGGACAGCUACAUGUAGAAGAAAUUAGAACAUUCUCUCACACCAUACACAAAAAUAAACUCAAAACGGAUAAUAUACCUAAAUGUAAGACCAAAUACUAUAAAACUCUCAGAGGAAAACAGGCAGAGCACACUUUGACAUAAAUCACAGCAAUGUCUUUUUUUUUUUUUUUUUUUUUUUUUUUUUGCCAUUUCUAGGGCCACUUCCCGUGGCAUAUGGAGCAGUCCAAGAAAUGGCAAAAAGACCAAAAAAAAAACAAAAACAAAAACCAAGCCUUUGCACAGCAAAGGACACCAUAACUAAAACAAAAAGACAACCCAAAGAAUGGGAUAAAAUAUUUGCAAAUAGGAGUUCCCGUCGUGGCGCAGUGGUUAACGAAUCUGACUAGGAACCAUGAGGUUGAGGGUUUGGUCCCUGCCCUUGCUCAGUGGGUUAACGAUCCGGUGUUGCCGUGAGCUGUGGUGUAGGUUGCAGACGCGGCUCAGAUCCCGCGUUGCUGUGGCUCUGGCGUGGGCUGGUGGCUACAGCUCCGAUUCGACCCCUAGCCUGGGAACCUCCAUAUGCCGCGGGAGCAGUCCAAGAAAUGGCAAAAAGACCAAAAAAAAAAAAAAAAAAUUUGCAAAUGAAGCAACUGGCAAGGGAUUAAUCUCCAAAAUAUACAAAAAAUAAAUAAAUAAAUAAAAAAAACCCCAACCAACCCAAUCAAAAAAUGGGCAGAAGAUAUAAACAGACAUUUCUCCAAAAACAGACAGAUGGCCAAAAAGCACACAGUGGAGUUCAUUUUAUAUGUAUGCAUAUAUAAAUGAUUAAAACCAAUUAAAUUUAUAAACAAAUUCCUAAAUCUUCCAUGCAAAAGAAUCCCAAAUGAUUUGUACUUUACCAUCGAGGAAGCAUACACCGCUACUCCUUAAGCAUAGGCUGUGUAUGGUGACUUCCUUCCAAAGAGUACAGUCUGGAAAGGAGGGGAAGAGUAACUUCACAGUGGAAAAAUCUGACAAACCUCAGUCAGGGGAUCAAGCUCAACAUUAAUGGGAAUUCCCUG
Molecule: long non-coding RNA, 3218 nt
Filed under: Sus scrofa (pig)
Lineage: Eukaryota; Metazoa; Chordata; Mammalia; Artiodactyla; Suidae
Description: lncRNA (ENSSSCG00030034536.1)
Source: RNAcentral